UGAGGAAUAUUGGUCAAUGGACGCAAGUCUGAACCAGCCAUGCCGCGUGAAGGAUGAAGGCGUUCUGCGUUGUAAACUUCUUUUAUUGGGGAAGAAACCUGGAUUUUCUAAUCCAGCCGACGGUACCCAAGGAAUAAGCACCGGCUAACUCCGUGCCAGCAGCCGCGGUAAUACGGAGGGUGCAAGCGUUAUCCGGAUUUACUGGGUUUAAAGGGUGUGUAGGCGGACUUUUAAGUCAGCGGUGAAAUCUCCGGGCUCAACCCGGAAACUGCCAUUGAUACUAUUGGUCUUGAAUGUUGUUGAGGUGGGCGGAACGGGUCAUGUAGCGGUGAAAUGCAUAGAUAUGACCCGGAACACCGAUUGCGUAGGCAGCCCACUAAGCAACGAUUGACGCUGAGGCACGAAAGCGUGGGGAUCAAACAGGAUUAGAUACCCCCGUAGUCC
This 444-nucleotide ribosomal RNA is filed under the name uncultured bacterium. RNAcentral's name for it is "bacterial SSU rRNA". It matches the Rfam family "Bacterial small subunit ribosomal RNA", at positions 355 to 796 of the family's 1533-position model. The record is from RNAcentral.